CACAGGCACCUGCCGCUGCCGAGAGGGCAUCUCAGGGCCGCGGUGCCAGGCGUGUGCCCGUGGCUCCACAGGAGGCUUCCCACACUGCACAUCCUGCCCUCCCUGCUUCGCCUCCUGGGACCAACGCCUGGCUCCCCUCCAGCUGCAUCUGGACACCAUGGUCCAUGAGGUGGCUGCCCUGCGCCAGGGCAUGCCUGGCUGGGGUGCUGGGCUCCGGGGAGAUCAGCUGCAGGCCCUGGAGGGUAAACUCCAGCAGGCCCAGACACUCCUGGAAUCACCUUCCCCCACCAGAGGUCCCCUGCAACAAUUUACAGAGUGGAUCACCGGACUCAGGCAAGGGGUCUGGGGUCAUUAGGGAGGAGGGCUGCAGCUGGCCUCCCAGGGUCAGGGACUCAGACGGUCUCUGGCUGGCUAUCUGAGUCCUGGGUUCGAAAGUGAGGUGAGUCCUCUGGAGUGAGGAGACAGGGGGAAAAGGGCAUCUGUGGCCAGGCUGAUAUUCCAUCUUCCCACAGGACAGAAAGAACCACAUUGGGCCAGACACUAUGGGUCACAGCACAGGUUGUGGCAGAGAGAGACUCAUGGGUUAGGGGACAGUGUGAACAUCUGGAAGAAUUAUCCCAGGAGUUAGACUGUGUCAAGGGCCUGGCCUGGCCCAGGAAGGCCAUGGGAGCCCAAGAUGCUAAGGCCCAGGUCUCCUCAGCUGCCCUGCUUUCUCAAGAGGCCCUGCGUACAGUCCAGGUCGUGGCCACACUUGGAGGACCAGAAAGCCUCCUGGGACAGGCCCAGGAGGCCCGGCGGUGGACAGAGCAGCUACUGUGGGCAACAGGCCGGCCCAGAGGGCCAGCUGUGUUGCGGCUGAAAUUGAAGGGGCUGGUCGACAGGGUCCAGAGGCUGAGCCCUCGGCUUCUGGGGCUGCUAGACAAAGCUGGAGUGGUGGGUGGAAAUAUGGGUCACUGGGGGAUGUUUUGCCAAGGAGAGGACUCUCUCCUGGGGCUAAACUGAAUGUAGGGCCAUUCGAGAUCCAGGACAUAAAUUCCUCACUGGGACCCUGAUCUUGUUGGCAGGGAUGCAGGGGUCAGGGACCUGGGCUGGCCCAUGUUCCUGUGCCCUCUGGUGUUCCCUCUUGCCCUGGGACCCUGCCUACCUCCCAGUGGGCUCUCAUUGCCUCCCGUAACUCCUCCCAUAGCCUGGACAUAGCAUUCAUCACCUUGGAGCAGUGCCAGCAUCUGGUACAGAGCUGUGGGGUCUGUGGAGGGGGGCCUGGGGGAGUCACAGGGUACGAUGCCUUGGCCAUGGGCUCACAAGAGACACAUUCCAUAUAUGGCCCACCCCUACCAGCUACGGCAGACCCAGGCCACUGCAAGCUCCACAGGAAUCCAGGCCUGGGAGACGUGGCGUCG
RNAcentral lists this long non-coding RNA (1400 nucleotides) under Bos mutus (wild yak). RNAcentral describes it as "lncRNA (ENSBMUG00000014228.1)". The record is from RNAcentral. Lineage: Eukaryota; Metazoa; Chordata; Mammalia; Artiodactyla; Bovidae.